CCUACGGGAGGCAGCAGUGGGGAAUAUUGGGCAAUGGAGGCAACUCUGACCCAGCAACGCCGCGUGAGUGAUGAAGGUCUUCGGAUUGUAAACCUCUUUUGCCGGGGAGCAAGCGUGCGUUCGUGAACGCGCGUCGAGAGUACCCGGAGAAAAAGCAUCGGCUAACUCCGUGCCAGCAGCCGCGGUAAUACGGAGGAUGCGAGCGUUAUCCGGAUUUAUUGGGUUUAAAGGGUGCGUAGGCGGGAUGCCAAGUCAGCGGUAAAAAUGCGGUGCUCAAGGCCGUCGAGCCGUUGAAACUGGCGGUCUUGAGUGGGCGAGGAGUGUGCGGAAUGCGUGGUGUAGCGGUGAAAUGCAUAGAUAUCACGAAGAACUCCGAUUGCGAAGGCAGCAUACCGGCGCCCUACUGACGCUGAGGCACGAAAGCGUGGGUAUCGAACAGGAUUAGAUACCCUGGUAGUC
Molecule: ribosomal RNA, 459 nt
Filed under: uncultured bacterium
Lineage: Bacteria
Description: partial 16S ribosomal RNA
Rfam family: Bacterial small subunit ribosomal RNA
Source: RNAcentral